RNAcentral lists this ribosomal RNA (407 nucleotides) under uncultured bacterium. RNAcentral's name for it is "partial 16S ribosomal RNA". It matches the Rfam family "Bacterial small subunit ribosomal RNA", at positions 30 to 526 of the family's 1533-position model. The record is from RNAcentral.
AUUGAACGCUGGCGGCAGGCCUAACACAUGCAAGUCGAGCGGAGAGGCGGACGGGUGAGUAAUGCCUAGGAAUCUGCCUGGUAGUGGGGGAUAACGUCCGGAAACGGGCGCUAAUACCGCAUAAUAUCAGAUGAGGCUAGGUCGGAUUAGCUAGUUGGUGGGGUAAAGGCCUACCAAGGCGACGAUCCGUAACUGGUCUGGGAGGAUGAUCAGUAACACUGGACAGAGGACACGGUCCAAAGUCCUACGGGAGUCGGCAGUGGGGAAUAUGGGACAAUGGGCGAAAGCCGGAGCCAGCUAUGCCCCGUGGGUGAGGAAGGUCUUCGGUUUGUAAAGUAUUUUAAGCUGGGAGGCGUUACCAACAGAAUAAGCACCGGCUAACUUCGUGCCAGCAGCCGCGGUAAUUC